GACGAACGCUGGCGGCGUGCUUAACACAUGCAAGUCGAGCGGUAAGGCCCUUUCGGGGGUACGACGAGCGGCGAACGGGUGAGUAACACGUGGGUGACCUGCCCUCAGCUCUGGGAUAAGCCUGGGAAACCGGGUCUAAUACUGGAUAUGACUCCAUGACGCAUGUUGUGGGGUGGAAAGCCUUGUGCGGCUGAGGAUGGGCCCGCGGCCUAUCAGCUUGUUGGUGGGGGAUGGCCUACCAAGGCGACGACGGGUAGCCGGCCUGAGAGGGCGACCGGCCACACUGGGACUGAGACACGGCCCAGACUCCUACGGGAGGCAGCAGUGGGGAAUCUUGCGCAAUGGGCGAAAGCCUGACGCAGCGACGCCGCGUGAGGGAUGACGGCCU
RNAcentral lists this ribosomal RNA (388 nucleotides) under uncultured bacterium. Its description in RNAcentral is "bacterial SSU rRNA". It matches the Rfam family "Bacterial small subunit ribosomal RNA", at positions 28 to 417 of the family's 1533-position model. The record is from RNAcentral.